AUCUAUAGCCAUACUACCCUGAAUGCGCCUGAUCUCGUGAAACUAAGCAGGGUUGGGCCUGGUUAGUACUUGGAUGGGAGACUGCCCUGAAAUACCGGGUGCUGUAGGCU
RNAcentral lists this ribosomal RNA (110 nucleotides) under Saimiri boliviensis boliviensis (Bolivian squirrel monkey). The record is from RNAcentral. Lineage: Eukaryota; Metazoa; Chordata; Mammalia; Primates; Cebidae.